Fukomys damarensis (Damara mole-rat) is the source of this 954-nucleotide long non-coding RNA. RefSeq lists it as uncharacterized. Lineage: Eukaryota; Metazoa; Chordata; Mammalia; Rodentia; Bathyergidae. The record is from RefSeq and is a predicted model, not a curated record. The transcript has 3 exons.
UCUGAGAUGCCUACAAAAAGACUGAAUCAACUUAGGCUAUUAGAAAUAUUUUGGCAUCAAAAUGGUUAAUAGUAUUAUAGCUUCAAAAGAGCCUAUUGGCUCACCCUCAAGGAUGCCCUGCAGUAGUUGUUAAAGUCAUCAGAUGAAGCUAGCCUUCUCAGCUAGCCUUUAGAUUUGUCUGCUCACAGUAAAAAUACUAUAAUAAAUCGGUAACAUAUGUUGCCAAGCAAGGAAAAGUGAUAUAAAUAAAGAGACAAGGAGACCCAAACCAAAUUCAAAAUUGCAUUCUUACCCAAAUACUCUCCGUGAUUGCCUGCUUUGCGGCUUUGGGAUGCCGAAGAAGACAAAUGGCACCAACGAUGGAAACCACGUGUCCUCUGCGUACCCCACAUCUGGUGUUGUCAUAGUUAAGUGAUGGUGUCAACUUCAGUAAGCAAUGCCAAGCUCAAGUGGAUCAGCUCAGUGCUGGGUGUGGCUGAAGGGAUUUGCUAAAGACAGAAGUCCCACCCUGGGUAUAAGCAGCACUAACGGGAAAUGAAGAAGGAAGGAGGCAUCGCUUCUGUUUCUAAGGAGGAGCACCAGUUUUCACCUUCACCUCAAAUGUUGUUUCCUGGCUUUCAGAACAGACUCUUCAGCUUUCUAGCAUAGACCCUUUGGUCUCGGGAUACAGAUUCCCAGGGGCCUCUACAGUGAGCUUCUGGCCUUUAACCUUUGACCAGAUCUGCAGUGCACAGAAAGCUCUUUUGCACUCUUCCACCCCUGACUCUGCAGGUGGCCAUUGUAAGCCUAUCUUGUAAAUCCUGACAUAUUAUGUAUCUUUCAUUAAAUCCAUUUGGCCAGUGAGCACUGACUGAUACAGGUGUCAAGUAGAAAUUCACGGAUGCUUUCUGUGAGGGUAUUCAGUAAAUGCAAAGGAGAUUCUGGAACUGGCUUCAAAAGAGCAAAUAAACUGAC